ACCACGACUCUCGACAAUGGAUAUCUCGGCUCUCGUUUCGAUG
This 43-nucleotide ribosomal RNA is filed under the name Gnetum luofuense. RNAcentral's name for it is "partial 5.8S ribosomal RNA". The record is from RNAcentral. Lineage: Eukaryota; Viridiplantae; Streptophyta; Gnetopsida; Gnetales; Gnetaceae.